Molecule: non-coding RNA, 84 nt
Organism: Podarcis lilfordi (Lilford's wall lizard)
Lineage: Eukaryota; Metazoa; Chordata; Lepidosauria; Squamata; Lacertidae
Source: the annotation of a GenBank genome assembly
GGCAUGGAAUCUGCUGGCAUUCAUGAAACCACCUAUAACAGCAUCAUGAAGUGUGACAUUGAUAUCAGAAAAGACCUCUAUGCA